GCCUUAGGUUGCCUACCCCUGGUACAGAGAAUGAGACUGUUAAUCUCUGGGUGAUGGGUUCGAACCCCACAUUGGGCA
This is a non-coding RNA of Podarcis lilfordi (Lilford's wall lizard), 78 nucleotides long. NCBI's taxonomy places the organism in Eukaryota, Metazoa, Chordata, Lepidosauria, Squamata, Lacertidae. The record is from the annotation of a GenBank genome assembly.